Molecule: ribosomal RNA, 253 nt
Filed under: uncultured bacterium
Lineage: Bacteria
Description: partial 16S ribosomal RNA
Rfam family: Bacterial small subunit ribosomal RNA
Source: RNAcentral
GACAGAGGGUGCAAACGUUGCUCGGAAUCACUGGGCGUAAAGGGCGUGUAGGCGGGACGGUAAGUCGGGCGUGAAAUCCCUAGGCUCAACCUAGGAACUGCACUCGAAACUACCAUUCUUGAGUGUCGGAGAGGAAAGCGGAAUUCCUGGUGUAGAGGUGAAAUUCGUAGAUAUCAGGAGGAACACCAGUGGCGAAGGCGGCUUUCUGGACGAUAACUGACGCUGAGACGCGAAAGCGUGGGGAGCAAAAGGG